GUCGCUCGUCGCCUCCCUCUGUCCCGACGCCUGCUCUCCUAUCCUCUUCCUGCGCCGCCGACAUCAACGGCCCCCGUCACCAUUCCUCUCGUUCCCCCUUAAUCUAGGGUUGCAGCGGGAUCCAGCAACGCGGGAUACAGAGGAGUGGCCGGUCUGCGCCUAUCCAGCCCCGAUGCGAGGCGCGCGAUGGGAUCAACCGGAUGUGCGGGAUCGAGCCAGGCGAUGCGCGCGUUGGGAUCGACCAGAGGCACUCCAGGGAGCCCAGGAUCUAGCAGCGCCAGAAGUUCGUCUCCAUGACCGGCUCGAGGGGUUUGCUGCCGCGGGUCAAGGCCCUCGCCGCCGACUGCGCGCGUGUGGAGGAAAUCAGCAGGCAGAGGCGAGCAGGGAGAGGUCAAAGGCAGCCUACACGGAGCUUCCUCCGGGAGCAGAACAGGGGGUUUCUAUCUAUUUGCCUUUGCAUUCAAUGUAUAACUUCAAGAGAGUGACUUGGUGGAUUCCCAAGCCCGUGGUUUGCUCUUCCUAAUGCCUACUUACGAAAAGCAUUAUGUCCGGCUUGUGCAUGUCAUGAUUUUCUUAAUCCUUUAUCUUUAUCAGUAGUGGUCGUUUUGUUAAUACUGCGACAUAGUAGAGAAGAAGGAAGGAUAUUCCGAAAAAAACCAAUAAGUAAGAACUAUAUUUGAUUUCCAUCAUAUCUGAUGUCUAUAUCUGGGAAGUGCUAAUGGACCAGAGUCUUUUUGUAACAGGACAAUAGUCAUGAUGCCGAUGAGAUGGAUCUUGUACAGUGCAUGGAAUUAUAACGGAUUGGGGAGGCCGAUACAGAGGAUGCGGGCUGGCCCUUGAUAAAGAGGUUGCUGGCGAUGCGGGGUUACUGUAAUCUUGUGAAGCAAAGGUAAUUGCUUCUAUUACAGAAUGGCCUAUGGUGGAAAUCAGCAACAAAACCAAUAUUUCAAAGCUUUGAUUGGUGAUCCUUCUGUUGGUAAUUCAAAUUUUCUUGCAAGAUUUCGUAGGAACCCUGAUCCUUGUAAUUCCAGUGGAAUAGAUGAUUAAUGGAACACAUGUAUAAACUUAUUAAGAGGUGAUUUAAAUCACUGAAUGAGGUUUGGUGAAAAUUUAAAAUUAUUGCGACCUAUCAACAAUGGUGAAAAAUGAGAACUACUCAUGCAUUAUUGUUUUUAACUAUAUCCUGUCAUGAUUUAGACGAUCUCAUCUACCUCAUUAUUCGUCUAUUGCUGGUCAGGAAGACUGUCUUACUUUGAUCCCUGGGUUGAUGAACUUACUUGCCGAGCAGGUACAUGAAGUUUUGACAUUAGGCAGGUGACUAGAUGGUCAGCAGAUUGAGCCACCGAGGUUAUGCGUGCUUAAAUUCCUCUUGAUUUUCAUAUUAUUUUUUUAAAUGGGCCAGCACCGCAACACGUAUUUAUGCAUUUUUCAUCAACUGCUGUAAUUAAAUUAAAAGCAUAUAUUUGAGGCUCAUCAGAUCCAAGAACUCAAUUCUUCCCUACUAUUGCUAAUUGAUUAAAAAUAGGUUCAGUUAUGACUAAUAUUUGUGUGAGUUCACGCAAAUCUAACUUCUAUAAUUGUGAUAUACUAUAUUACAAAUUUUUCAGUCAUUUUAUAGGACAAAUGGAUUGGCGCAGCACGACUCCCAUCAUGGUUAAAUAGAUUGAGGUAUGGAGACAACAUAGAUGGAUGGAUGUCGUUUCUGAUUGAGUUGGCUCUGGUGCAAGACAAAUUCACCUUGGAGUAGCCGACUUAAGGAUGAUGCAGUGUUGCUUUGGUGGGACUAGCAGAUGGUGUUUUUGGCUCAAGAAUUCGAAGUGGAAAAGAAAUAUAACUCCAAUGAAGAUUGAUAAGUUUGUUGGUCUGCUUAAGAACAAGUGUGGCAGUAGUUUACAUUUCUUGAAGUUUAACCUUUUCAUCUGAAAAUUUGCAAUGAUUCAUUCAAAGGAGU
Long non-coding RNA from Triticum dicoccoides, 1951 nucleotides. RefSeq lists it as uncharacterized. Lineage: Eukaryota; Viridiplantae; Streptophyta; Magnoliopsida; Poales; Poaceae. The record is from RefSeq and is a predicted model, not a curated record. The transcript is spliced from 3 exons.